UGCCCCUUUAAUGAAACCUAUUUUUGUGACUUCUGAUCCUGAGUGCUAGUUUGGGGAGGAAAACUUGGUUUAGUGUUCAUUGUGUCAUUUUCUCAUAAAGGAAUCAAUAUUAUAGACAAAAAUGAUAAUGAAUCUAUCCAAACAUCCUCAUAGUUAAAAAUGAUAUUCAAGAAAUUAAUAGAAUAAAACAUAAAACGAUGAAAUCUAAAAAACCUUAUUAUCCACUACAUACUUCACAUGAUCUAUUAUUUGAAGAACACCAUAAACAUACACUAGCGAAGGUAUAUAUGAGUGGAAUAUUGAUGGAAGUUCAAAAUAUGAAAUAAUGAAUUUAUUUCAAGAAAUGGGAAUGCCCGCUAUAUCAUUUAAAGCUAGAUGUCAUUUUGAUAAGCAAGCUUGUAUUAUGCUAGUAACUGGAUUUAAUGGAGCAUUAAUAUAUUGGUGGCCAGACAGAAUUACGCAAAAUUCAAUAAUUAACCAUGUUGAAAAAAAGAGAAGAAGACAAAGAUGGUUUUUAUGAAGAAGUAGAAAAUCAAAAUACAAUAUAAGGAUUAAUACAUACUUUAACAAUGCAUUUUAUUGGUAACUAGAUUUGGACCCGCGCGUUGCAACGGGCUUUGUUUAAUAUUUGAAUUUAACAGAAAAAAUAUAAAAAAUAUUUUGUUAUAGUUUUAUAAUUUUUUUUCAUGUGUUAUGUAAGAUGUAUUUUAUAAUUAAAAUUCAUUUUUACACAUAAGUUUCAGUUAGUAUUUGGUUUUUAUAAUCAUGGUGUAUAGACUAACGGUUAUCAUCUUGUACUUAGAGUUAAAAAAAACAUCCAUACCUAAAAAAGAAUUUGGAAGUUAAAUAAGGCUAAGAAGCAAUGACAACAUUAUACACUUUCUUAUGUACUAAUUUAAUGUUUUAUUAAACUUAUCCAAUGUUAAAUCAUUUUUUUGAUUCAUUAUUUAUUAAUGAUAUAUUUUCAUAAUAACAUUUUGACUAAAAUGAAUUAGAAAUUACUAAAUAAUAAAACUAAAAAAUCUAAUAAGAUAUCGCUGAAGCUUGAUUUGUUUUUGACUAAACAUAUGUACGGUUGACAAUAAUAAUAAUCAAAUUUUAUGAGCAAACAUGAACAUAUAUAUAUCAAACAUGUGUUUGAUUUUCGUAUGACCAAACACAUAAAUACCAAUCGUGACAACAUCCUAAUUUCUUAUUUUUGUUAAUUUAAUAGCUUUAGUACUUGUCAUCAACUUUUUUUUCCGAAAACUAUUAUUAAAUAGGUAAUUUUAUUUUUAUUAGGAUUUUUUAAAAAAGAAAAAAAAUAUAUUUUACAAAUCUCAUUUUUACUUACGAUUAAAAAAAGGAAACAAUACUAUUAAACAAUUUUUUAUUUUUUUAAUAAUUUAAAAAAAGGAAAAAGUGUUAUCAUAUAAACUUUUACAAUUAUCUUAUAUUUAGAAUUUCAAAAAAAAUAUAAUUGCUAUCAAAUAAUAAUUUUUAGUUACUAUAAAAUAAUUUUUAAAUUAUGAUUUUUACAAUUCAUCAAUACUAUUUUCACACUUCGUUUUUAAUUAAAUAACUUUUGGUAUCAUGUUCAUCAUCAAAUUCUCUCUUAAAAUAUACUAUCAAAUAACUUCUUACAAUUUUCUUUUGGUUAUGACUUAAAAAAUCUGAUACAAAUCUCUUUUUUUUUACGAUUUUUUUAAAAGAAAACAACAAAUUUUUUUUAGGGCGUUAAAAAAGAAAACUAAAAUUACAUUGUCUUUUAUAACUAUAUUUUUUCUAGGAUUUAUAAAAUAAAAUUACUAUCAAAUGUUAACUAUUUUUAAAUGUUGCUAUUUUCAACAAUGACUCUCGGACAACAAUGACUCUCGGACAAGUUAAGCUUCUCGUUCUGGCCGGAUCAUAGAUUCCCUAGUAGCCGACAACCCAUCAAUCUACAAAGCGAUCCUAGGAACGCCUUGGAUAAAUUCCAUGGGAGCCAUCCCAUUUACUAAUCACCUCUGAAUCAAAUUCCCGACUCCAAUGGGUGUCGAAAUGAUUUGGGGCGGUCAGAAACAGUCGCGUCUUUUCUUCUUAGCCGAGCAUAAGCUAUGGAAGGUCGAAAAUCAACCAAUGGUAAACUCCAAACAUACAAAAACCAUGAUCGUCCAACCCAUGGUCAAGACGCUUCGAAAAAACUGACGUCAAUUCAGGCACCAAGUUUAGACAAAGGAAGCGAACAAACUUCCAAACCUGAUGCUCCCAACGACCCGGUCGACUCAACACGGGAAAAAGCCAUUAAUCCAGUAGCACUCGAUACUAUUAAAAUGGCACAACCCUGCCAAGCAAAUAAUCACUCACGGUGAGCACAAUGAACUACAUGAUGGUUUGAUCCUCGAAAGAAGUACGUUGCCAGCCUGUCGUGACAUUUUCAGCUGUCCCCUUUGCAAAACAUUGUUGGGGGGAGGGGAAGGGGGGGGGGGGGGGGGGGGGAGUGGGUACGUAUAUGUAUGCUCGUAUACUACGUUUUAAAUAUCAGCUUUUGUAUUUGAUAUUUUUUUAAAAAUUCGGCAAUACGAUAACACAUUUUUCACAUAUUUAGCCAACUCUCGCAAAAAAAUAGUUUGCCAAAAUACUUAAGCGAAAAACCGUUAACACGAUUCAUCGAUCAAAACAAGUUUCGGUCUAAGCUUCAAACGACAUUCAAAGACCCCACACGGUAUACGAAAAUCCUCACACACAAAUAAAACUAAAGUCACUAUAAUGGUUUUUUUUUUCCUGUUCUUGGGAGAUCAAACUAUUUUCAAAAGAACAUGCUUCUUCCUUAUAACAAACUCAUACAACCUCUGAGUCAAAACUCUGUUGAUCGCAAUUCAAAGUUUAAAAAAAAUUCUCCAAUUCCUCCCCAAUGUUUAGACGAGUUUCCUCACACAUCUAAGCCAACUCUUGCACAAGUACUUUGCCAAAAUUGUAACGACCCAGUUUUGUGAACCGAAGCUGGUUUAAGAUUUCUUUAAUUAUUUGAGAUUAAACCAAACAUUUUCCCAAACCAAGUCUUCUAUAUAUAUGAUCGUACAUAUCCUCUUCCCUAACUGAAAAGCCUUAGCCGUAAGAAACCAUCUCCAACUUUGGAGCAGGCAGUUUUGCUAUGGAGAAUACGCCAAGCGCAUGUUAGCGUUAUGGAUUUGUAAGACUAUCGAGGUUGGGAGUAUUGGAUAUCAUUAGUGUUGAGCAGGAUAGUUUUGAGCAGGAUAUAUCUAUAACGAAACUGAGUUGUGUGUUGGACGAUAAGCUGUUAAAAAAAGGGAUCUUAUAGCAAAUACAUCACUUGUGUUUCUCUACCCAUCGGGAACACCAAGGGGUACAAAGAUAUGAAGUGUUUACUAUAAUUGAUCUAGUAUGAAGGGAGUUGUAGCUUCAUUGCGUCACAGUGUCAGACAUGUCAGAUGGCUAUGUCAGAGGAUCAGUUAUCUAUCAUGUUAUUUUUGAGUUUGCUUUUACCGGACUGGAAAUGAGGCAUGGUGAUUAUGGACGUUGUUAUUGGAUUUUUAAAUCACCAUAUGUGGAAAGGAUGACACAUGGGUAGUCAUGGAUAGACUUUCCAAGUCAGCCCAUUUCCUUAGUAAUUAAGAAGACAGUUUGAGCUAAUCAGUUUGAGUAGACCUACAUUAUUGAGUUUUGGAGGUUUCAUGGAUGUCAACAUUGUAUCAGAUUGGGAUUCGAAGUUCACUACAUUUUUGGAGUCAUUCAGAAGAAACUUGGGACAAAGAUCCACAGGAAUACAACUUAUUAUCAGCAUAUAUAUGGUUAGUCAAAGAGAACUAUUCAGGCUUAAAGGACAUGCUCAGAUUUGCAUUUUACAGUGGAAUGGAAGAUCGAAAAGCAUUACAUCUAGCAGAGUUUUGCCUACAUCGACAACUAUCGUCCGAGCAUUGAGAUGACACCGUAUGAGGCUAUUUAUGGUAGGUCUCGUCGUAUACCACUUUUUUGGACCAAAGUGAGGGAGUGACAAGAGUUAGAACUAGUAAUGGUUCAAGAUGGUAUAGCAAAUGACAUGCUCAAGGAUUGGUUUGGGGAAGCCCAUGACGGCAGAGGAUUUAUGUAGCUAAGCGCCGUAAGGAUUUAGAGUUACAUAUGGGCGAUCUAGUAUAUUUGAAAAUGAGGACAUUUCAGGAGGAUCUAAGACUCGGAAACAAAAAAAAUGUUGUCUACAUCUAUUCAGCCAGUUGAGAUUUUGGAUCGGCAAGUGAAAGCGGUCCAGGGGACAAUGACUAUGUUUGUCAAAGUUCGUUUCGAGAAAAAAAAAAAAGACAGAAUCCAGGAAGAGACCUGAGAACCCAAGACUCAUAUGAAAAUUGAUUUAUUCAGAUGAAGUAUUGGACAGUCGGCUUAUUAUUUGAAUUCGAGAACGAAUUCCUUAUUAGUGGAGGAGAAUUGUAACGAUCCAGUUUUGUGAACCGAAGCUGGUUUAAGAUUUCUUUAAUUAUUUGAGAUUAAACCAAACAUUUUCCCAAACCAAGUCUUAUUAUAUAUGAUCGUACAUAUCCUCUUCCCUAAUUGAAAAGCCCUAGCCGUAAGAAACCAUCUCCAUCUUCACGAUCUCUCACUCUUUGGUUGCAGCCAUGUAAGAGGAUCUCUGCCAUUGUUGACGCAUCACCACCGUAUCUCUUCUCUGUUGUUAAUAGCUUAACAUCUCUAUGAAUCAAUCUCUACCGAAGAACACAGAUGUAAUCACCAUAUUGGAGCUAGUUGGCUACGUUACAAGACGGAGAGAGAAUGUGACCAUAAGCCGGCGCCACCGCCAUGAUCAUCACCAACCACCACGGAGUUGUGCCCCUGUGAACCUAAACCCACCACACGUGUGACCUAUAGCACAAGAGAUACUUUUGCGCAGCAGAGAUUUCUUCAUGUCUUAAGCUGAGGAGAAGAGAUGGAUACAUCAGACCCAUGGCUGAGGAGUGGUUUUGCGAGAGGUUUCUAGUACGAUCCAGGGGGUUCUAGGCAACGAGUCAUGGCUCUUUGGAUAGAUCUCGUUUCCAGGAAUCUGUAGAAACAAACGGAAUUAAGAUCGGAGUUGUACAGCAAAAGUUAUUGACAUGCUUCUUGGACAAGAAUAAGCUUAAGCUGUUGGAAUGCUGAAACAGUUCCGACCAGUGUCAGAGUAAAGGCGCAACGGUCAACCUUAACAAAAGCUUUCAGUCUGAGAAUUUUACAGUAAGUAGUUAACUAUUUCAGUUAUAAUCUCCAACAAACGGUUUGUCAUUCCAAGUUAUUUUCUGAGAGUUAAGCUUGUUUUCGUGAGAGGUGUUGGUGCAGUCUACGUUUGCGACCAGUCUGGAGACGAAGCUAAUUUGAUUAAUCAGAGGGUGUCCGAUCGGAGUACACCCGGUCGCUACGGAUAGAGGACAUCCAGGGCUACAUUCUUACCGGAUGGAUUGAAAAUAUAACGGUCAGUUAUUGAGUUAUGCAUAUGUUUUCUCUAGGGUUUAGGUCUGGCAGAAUCAUCGUACUCAUUUAUUUUCAGACUUUUGGAGUUGCUGUGAUAGAGCCAUCAAGGUCUACUCUGUGUUUCUCAGGUUUUCUUUAGAACCCGUGGCAAAGGUGAGGGUCUAUUCCAUAAAUCCUGUACCAGUGUAAAAUUCUCCCUAUCGUAGUUUAGAUUUCGAAUCAUGAUCCGUCGGUUUGAAUUGAGUCUGUUCGAGUCUUGAUUGUUAGUUAGUUCAUUUUUUGUAAACUGGAACUAGGGGUCUAGAGGAUUCAACCUUUGAUUGGAUUGUGUGAUGUUAAGAAAUGUGAUAUAUAUAUGUAUGUACACAUAGUUAUGAGUAGGGACUAUGUACGCGGACAGGGCUCAGAGAUGUCUGGGCUAGCGAUGCUACUUUGAUUGUGCGGGCAGAGGUUCAGAGACGUCUGGACUUGCGAUGCUACUUGUGCGGGCGUGUGGUGCAUAUGCGUUUCUACCAUGGACGCUACUUGAGAGGGCGGGGGUACAGAGACAGACUGUACUAGCGACGCUACGUAUUAUAUAUUCAUAUGAGGAGAUGCGAGAUGUAUGGACUAGCUAUAUGCUAUUAUCGCAUUGUUUGGUUUGUGUGACGCGAUAAGCGUCGUGUGUAUUCAUGUUAGAGCUAAACUUCCAUAGUGGAGUUCUAUUUACUCAAGUCAGUGGUUUGCGUGUUUAGCAUCCCAUACCUCACGGAGUAACUCCCCUGUUACUCACCCCUCGUGUUCUUUCCCCUUUCAGGUGAGACUGACGAGCAGGAGUGAUUGCUAUCGGACUGGUGCUUUGCGAGUUUUAUUUCCUUUUUUAUUUCAAAUUUGUGGUUUUAUGCUUUUAUCGAUAUUUUUGAGAUUUAUUAUAUUAUUUAGAUUUUAUGGUUAUUUAUUGGAUUUAUGACUUUGAAAUUGGCUUUUAAAAAGUAAUAAAUGGAGAUUUUAAACUUUUUAUUUAUUUAAAUUAUUUCAGAAAAUAAGGGUGUUACAAAAAUCUUCAAGUGGCAAACCAUUAAUACGUUCCACCGAUCAAAACUAGUUUUGGUCAAAGCUCCAAACGAUUUCAAAUACCCCCACACGUGGUAUACGUAAAUCCUUACACACAAAUAAAUCUCGGGAGAUCAAAUAUAAGCAAGACAAAUGUAUACGACCUCUUGGUCGAAACUCUGUUGAUUGCAACGCAACAUAUGCUCCAACGGAGAAACUCCCCCAAGAAAACUGUCUAAAACUUGGAGGAUGUCUUUGAAUUUGGGUUUAAAACUUGGGUUUAAAACUUGGGUUUGCUCGAAGAAACGUUCGUCCAAGAAAAAUGCAAGACAUCGUAUAUUUUUAGGAAAUAAACUUUCGACCGUAAAUCACCUCCUCGAUGAAUGUUCCAUCUUGGAGAAAUCCACAAAACAGUUGUCACGGACUAUAAUUAGAAAGAAAAAUAAUUGAGUUGGAAAGACAAGUACUUGCCUUACCCUGUCCGUCGAUUGGUUCUAACAGAAAAACUUUAUUUUCUAAAUAAACUCCUAACUGAUUCCCCCAUAGAGAUGGUUCUCGUACUUUUUCGACACGAGGAUAAUUAGCAUGCCAUAAAAUAAAUCUAAAUUUUUAUCAAUACCUUCUGGAUUUUUCCUAGAGGGGUGCUAGGUUCCACCACUGAAGCAAGUCAUUUAAGCCGGGAAUAUUAUCGGUAGACUUCAGAGUCGAGGUGGAAACCAGGUCGACAUUGCAACGGGUUAUGUAAGACGGGAUCGACCCCACAUACUCCAAACUCGAAAUUAGGCUUAGGUCUUGCCUUAUCACUGACGAAACACUCAUAGGAAUAGUAUCUUGAUGCGAGAUACAAGAACAUGUCUCUUCGUUGGUAUUUACAAAUACCUCUCCUCUCUCACUCUCUCUUGAUAUUUUUUCACCAGAUUGGGUUUCUGUGUAACUUUUAUUGUCUUUUGUGUGCAUGUACGAUCCAGUUUCCUGAGACUAUAUAACCGAGACGAUGUUGAUUUGUUUGGCAUCAUGAUGCCGCGGCCAAAUUCGGAGUUGAACGUUGGGGUAUGAUGUGGUCAAUAUAUUAGAGAGCAUUGGGAAGAAGGUUUGAGAGAGGGUUUUGGUGUAUCUGCAGCAGUUCUCACCAGACAUGCAGAAGCGUGUGUCAUCUGAACGAUAUGCAGAACUGACCAUGCUGCAUCUCAUAACUUAAAAGAAGCUUGGAUUU
Long non-coding RNA from Brassica rapa (field mustard), 7657 nucleotides. RefSeq lists it as uncharacterized. The record is from RefSeq and is a predicted model, not a curated record. NCBI's taxonomy places the organism in Eukaryota, Viridiplantae, Streptophyta, Magnoliopsida, Brassicales, Brassicaceae.